AAGUCGUAACAAGGUAACCGUAGGUGAACCUGCGGUUGGAUCAUUAAUUAUAUCCGGUGGGGGUGAGGCGCACAGCUUGCUGUUGCAUUUCCCCCCAAACCAAACAUUAUGUGAACCGAACUGUCUCUGGCGGGGGGGUGGUAAUUAAAACCUACCACUUGUCAGUAAAUGCAUCUUGCAUUUGCCGUGGACAUCCCGUCAACAGGUCUUACACCUUUGCUUUAUUUUGACGUCUGACAUAACCUGUAUAAAUAUACAAAACAACUUUUGGCAACGGAUCUCUUGGCUCUC
This 291-nucleotide unclassified non-coding RNA is filed under the name air metagenome. RNAcentral's name for it is "partial contains small subunit ribosomal RNA, internal transcribed spacer 1, and 5.8S ribosomal RNA". The stretch from base 1 to 46 matches the Rfam family "Eukaryotic small subunit ribosomal RNA", at positions 1786 to 1831 of the family's 1831-position model. The record is from RNAcentral.